Molecule: ribosomal RNA, 563 nt
Filed under: uncultured bacterium
Lineage: Bacteria
Description: bacterial SSU rRNA
Rfam family: Bacterial small subunit ribosomal RNA
Source: RNAcentral
CGCUGGCGGCGUGCUUACACAUGCAAGUCGAACGAACCUUCGGGUUAGUGGCGGACGGGUGAGUAACGCGUGAGAAUCUGCCCUCAGGAGGGGGACAACAGCUGGAAACGGCUGCUAAUACCCCAUAUGCCGCGAGGUGAAAUGAAUUUCGCCUGAGGAUGAGCUCGCGUCUGAUUAGCUAGUUGGUGUAGGUAAUGGCUCACCAAGGCAUCGAUCAGUAGCUGGUCUGAGAGGAUGAUCAGCCACACUGGGACUGAGACACGGCCCAGACUCCUACGGGAGGCAGCAGUGGGGAAUUUUCCGCAAUGGGCGAAAGCCUGACGGAGCAACGCCGCGUGAGGGAUGAAGGCCUCUGGACUGUAAACCUCUUUUAUCAAGGAAGAAGAUCUGACGGUACUUGAUGAAUAAGCCACGGCUAAUUCCGUGCCAGCAGCCGCGGUAAUACGGGAGUGGCAAGCGUUAUCCGGAAUUAUUGGGCGUAAAGCGUCCGCAGGCGGCCCUUCAAGUCUGCUGUUAAAAGUGGAGCUUAACUCCAUCAUGGCAGUGGAAACUGUUGGGCUUGA